GAUGAACGCUAGCUACAGGCUUAACACAUGCAAGUCGAGGGGCAGCAUGGUCUUAGCUUGCUAAGGCCGAUGGCGACCGGCGCACGGGUGAGUAACACGUAUCCAACCUGCCGUCUACUCUUGGACAGCCUUCUGAAAGGAAGAUUAAUACAAGAUGGCAUCAUGAGUCCGCAUGUUCACAUGAUUAAAGGUAUUCCGGUAGACGAUGGGGAUGCGUUCCAUUAGAUAGUAGGCGGGGUAACGGCCCACCUAGUCUUCGAUGGAUAGGGGUUCUGAGAGGAAGGUCCCCCACAUUGGAACUGAGACACGGUCCAAACUCCUACGGGAGGCAGCAGUGAGGAAUAUUGGUCGAUGGGCGAGAGCCUGAACCAGCCAAGUAGCGUGAAGGAUGACUGCCCUAUGGGUUGUAAACUUCUUUUAUAAAGGAAUAAAGUCGGGUAUGGAUACCCGUUUGCAUGUACUUUAUGAAUAAGGAUCGGCUAACUCCGUGCCAGCAGCCGCGGUAAUACGGAGGAUCCGAGCGUUAUCCGGAUUUAUUGGGUUUAAAGGGAGCGUAGAUGGAUGUUUAAGUCAGUUGUGAAAGUUUGCGGCUCAACCGUAAAAUUGCAGUUGAUACUGGAUAUCUUGAGUGCAGUUGAGGCAGGCGGAAUUCGUGGUGUAGCGGUGAAAUGCUUAGAUAUCACGAAGAACUCCGAUUGCGAAGGCAGCCUGCUAAGCUGCAACUGACAUUGAGGCUCGAAAGUGUGGGUAUCAAACAGGAUUAUAUACCCUGAUAGUCCACACUGCACAACGAAGAAUACACGCUGUCUACGAUAUAUUGCACGCGGUCAAGCGAAAGCGUGAAGUAUCCUACGUGGUGAGUACGCCGGCAGCGGUGAAACUCAAAGGAAUUGAUCGGGGGCCCGCACAAGCGGACGAACAUGUGGUCAAAUUUGUAUGAUACGAGAGGAACUUUACCCGCACUUGACUUGCAGCUGAAUGAUGGUGAAAGCCGUAAGACGCAAGGCCUCUGAGAAGUUGUUGCAUGGUUGUCGUCAGGUAGGGCCGUGAGGUGUGUGGUCUUAAGUGCCAUAGCGAGCGCAACCCUCGUAAUCAGUUACUAACAGGGUCCGGUGAGGACUUUGACACGACAGCCAUCGUAAGAUGUGAGGAAGGAGGGGAUGACGUCAAAUCAGCACGGCCCAUACGUCCGGGGCUACACACGUGCUACAUUGGGAGGUACAGAGGGCCGGUACCACGCGAGUGGAUGCCAAUCCCCAAAACCUCUCUCAGUUCGGACUGGAGUCCGCAACCCGACUCCAAGAAGAAGGAUUCGUUAGUAAUCGCGCAUCAGCCACGGAGGGGUGAAUACAUUCUCCGUCCU
Molecule: ribosomal RNA, 1363 nt
Filed under: uncultured bacterium
Lineage: Bacteria
Description: partial 16S small subunit ribosomal RNA
Rfam family: Bacterial small subunit ribosomal RNA
Source: RNAcentral